CCUACGGGAGGCUGCAGUGGGGAAUAUUGCACAAUGGGGGAAACCCUGAUGCAGCGACGCCGCGUGCGUGAAGAAGUAUUUCGGUACGUAAAGCUCUAUCAGCAGGGAAGAAAAUGACGGUACCUGACUAAGAAGCCCCGGCUAACUACGUGCCAGCAGCCGCGGUAAUACGUAGGGGGCCAGCGUUAUCCGGAUUUACUGGGUGUAAAGGGAGCGUAGACGGCAGCGCAAGUCUGGAGUGAAAUCCCAUGGCUUAACCAUGGAACUGCUUUGGAAACUGGGCAGCUAGAGUGCAGGAGAGGUAAGCGGAAUUCCUGGUGUAGCGGUGAAAUGCGUAGAUAUUAGGAAGAACACCAGUGGCGAAGGCGGCUUACUGGACUGUAACUGACGUUGAGGCUCGAAAGCGUGGGGAGCAAACAGGAUUAGAUACCCUUGUAGUC
This 440-nucleotide ribosomal RNA is filed under the name uncultured bacterium. RNAcentral's name for it is "partial 16S ribosomal RNA". It matches the Rfam family "Bacterial small subunit ribosomal RNA", at positions 338 to 795 of the family's 1533-position model. The record is from RNAcentral.